This 71-nucleotide transfer RNA is filed under the name Dipodomys ordii (Ord's kangaroo rat). It matches the Rfam family "tRNA". Rfam says of the family: Transfer RNA (tRNA) molecules are approximately 80 nucleotides in length. Their secondary structure includes four short double-helical elements and three loops (D, anti-codon, and T loops). The record is from Rfam by way of RNAcentral. Lineage: Eukaryota; Metazoa; Chordata; Mammalia; Rodentia; Heteromyidae.
GGAAAUAUAGCUUUAGUGGUAAAGUGCUUGCCUAGCAUGCAUGAAACCCUGGGUUCGAAUCCUCAGUACCA